Molecule: ribosomal RNA, 500 nt
Filed under: uncultured bacterium
Lineage: Bacteria
Description: partial 16S ribosomal RNA
Rfam family: Bacterial small subunit ribosomal RNA
Source: RNAcentral
AUUGAACGCUGGCGGAAUGCUUUACACAUGCAAGUCGAACGGCAGCACGGACUUCGGUCUGGUGGCGAGUGGCGAACGGGUGAGUAAUACAUCGGAACGUGCCCAGUCGUGGGGGAUAACGUAGCGAAAGCUACGCUAAUACCGCGUACGAUCUACGGAUGAAAGCGGGGGAUCGCAAGACCUCGCGCGAUUGGAGCGGCCAAUGGCAGAUUAGGUAGUUGGUGGGGUAAAGGCUCACCAAGCCGACGAUCUGUAGCUGGUCUGAGAGGACGACCAGCCACACUGGGACUGAGACACGGCCCAGACUCCUACGGGAGGCAGCAGUGGGGAAUUUUGGACAAUGGGCGCAAGCCUGAUCCAGCCAUUCCGCGUGCAGGAUGAAGGCCCUCGGGUUGUAAACUGCUUUUGUACGGAACGAAAAGGCUCUGGUUAAUACCUGGGGCUCAUGACGGUACCGUAAGAAUAAGCACCGGCUAACUACGUGCCAGCCGCCGCGGUAA